This is a non-coding RNA of Cucurbita pepo subsp. pepo (vegetable marrow), 1139 nucleotides long. Lineage: Eukaryota; Viridiplantae; Streptophyta; Magnoliopsida; Cucurbitales; Cucurbitaceae. The record is from RefSeq and is a predicted model, not a curated record.
AUAACUCCAAACUAUACCACUGCAAGAAGAAGAAUGAGAAGAGGAGGCCACUAUUAGUACGGUUUUAAGUAAAGCAGAGUAAAAUGCAGUUCAGGUCCUGAGUACAUACCCAAGAGAAAAGCUCAUUUGUGCUGAGCUGCCUACGGGAGAAGCAAUUCUGCCACGCGGUUAGCAUGGGCGAGUUUUUCAUAACCUAAUGGCUGCCUAACACAUGAAUCCUCAUUCCCACCAUCCAGCGAAUCCGAAUCAAGUGAGGAACUACAAAGCCAACGGUGAAGGCGGGGAGAGCGUAACAGGCAUAAUCGACCUUUGCACCAUCAUCAAAGGCUUUGUAGCUCUCAGUUCCAAGAGGUUGAGAGAUAACUGUGUAAUCGAAAACGAACUUCAUCAGAAAAAAAGAAAAUGGCAGGGAAUAUGAAGCAAUGCACUUUCUUUCAGAUUUCAUCUCCUUGAAGGCUGGAAGAACAACCAAUUUGUGCUGGUAACUUGGGAGAUACUACUUACAAGGAGCAAGGGGCUGAACUCUGGAGUGCUGCCACGAACCUUCAAAGGAAGGCUUAUUUGAAUCUCCUUUCCAUCAGCUUUGGAAGCAUACUCUGCUAGGUUCAGUGAUGCGGUUCCUACAACAGUAUAGCUAUUCCGAAGUACUUGGUUUUCUCCCUGUAAUCACAGCUGACUGAGUAAGAAUUUGGAACACUGCCCAACCACAAGAAGCUCCCCUCAAACAAGAGAAAAUUUUGGCACAGAUCCCCAAAGAAAAAGGUAUUAUGAGCCCUUUCAGAUCAUUUAUUUGAGUAUUCAACAUAUGGGGAUGAUCCUUUCUAUCCGUUCAGAUAUUCUUUACUUUGGGUUUUCUCAUUUGGGCUUCCCGUUAAAGUUUUUAAAACACGUUUGCUAAGGAGAAGUUUCCACACCCUUAUAGAAGAUGCUUCGUUCUCCUCCCCAACCGAGGCCAAGCAAUGUUCUGUUUCUUCCUUAUGAGAGCUGAGGACAUCAGGUAAGAACACUAUACUCCUAUGUUAAUUGUGAAUUAUUGAUAUAUUGAAUUCAUAAAGUGACAAAUUAUUGAUAUAGAAAAAGUCAAACACUGAAUAUGAAAAGAAAAUUGGAAUAUCAACAUCCUCAUUGUUCAGCCAUAC